AUCCAACUAACCAGUCCCAAAUAGGACAAAACAUAAGUCUUGGAU
RNAcentral lists this non-coding RNA (45 nucleotides) under Schistosoma mansoni. The record is from RNAcentral. Lineage: Eukaryota; Metazoa; Platyhelminthes; Trematoda; Strigeidida; Schistosomatidae.